AAAAAUAAAAAAUCUUUCGAAGCCAUAUUAUUUAUUUAUAAACCAGGUGAAAUACAAACAUACACACACGAACACCUCAAGAUCAUACAUAUUAUCGUUUACAUAGAAUAGAAAGCUUCCUACGCCGGCCAAUGCGAGAUCCUACCAAAUCCCGCUGCGUAGAAACUGUCCAUCUCAUACUUAUGAGCCACCACGGAUUGGCGGGCAGCUCUGCUGAACCGGUCCAGCUGGCGGAAAAUGAUGAACAGAAACAAGUUAGAUAGAAAGGCAACAGAAUUUUCAUGUGUGUUUAUGCAAAUACAACAACAUCGAGUGCUGGCUUACAGUCGUCGCAGGUGGACGGUCCACCUUGUUGCCCGAGGAUGCCACCAAUGAAAACCAGUAAAACCAGGAGGACCAGCAUCAGCCGAACCGAGCUAGCCGAGUACUUGUUUGCCAUCAUGGUUCUGUCGAGCUGGAUGUUUUGCUUUCUUGUUGAACUUGGAGUGGCAAGUUAACAGUUUGUGCAAUGGGUGCUCAACUCAAGUAGCGCUUAUAUAGAGCACAUACGUAGCUU
RNAcentral lists this long non-coding RNA (556 nucleotides) under Triticum aestivum (bread wheat). RNAcentral's name for it is "long non-coding RNA (TAES_LNC009464)". The record is from RNAcentral. Lineage: Eukaryota; Viridiplantae; Streptophyta; Magnoliopsida; Poales; Poaceae.